GAUGAACGCUGGCGGCGUGCUUAACACAUGUAAGUCGAACGAAGCACUUAAGAUUGAUUCUUCGGAUGACGUCUUUUGUGACUUAGUGGCGGACGGGUGAGUAACGCGUGGGUAACCUGCCUCACACAGGGGGAUAACAGUUAGAAAUGACUGCUAAUACCGCAUAACCCGAUAGGAUCGCAUGAUCCAGACGGAAAAGAUUUAUCGGUGUGAGAUGGACCCGCGUCUGAUUAGCUAGUUGGUGAGGUAACGGCCCACCAAGGCGACGAUCAGUAGCCGGCCUGAGAGGGUGAACGGCCACAUUGGGACUGAGACACGGCCCAAACUCCUACGGGAGGCAGCAGUGGGGAAUAUUGCACAAUGGGGGAAACCCUGAUGCAGCGACGCCGCGUGAGUGAAGAAGUAUUUCGGUAUGUAAAGCUCUAUCAGCAGGGAAGAAAAUGACGGUACCUGACUAAGAAGCCCCGGCUAACUACGUG
Molecule: ribosomal RNA, 479 nt
Filed under: uncultured bacterium
Lineage: Bacteria
Description: partial 16S ribosomal RNA
Rfam family: Bacterial small subunit ribosomal RNA
Source: RNAcentral